This 491-nucleotide ribosomal RNA is filed under the name uncultured bacterium. RNAcentral's name for it is "partial 16S ribosomal RNA". It matches the Rfam family "Bacterial small subunit ribosomal RNA", at positions 28 to 506 of the family's 1533-position model. The record is from RNAcentral.
GAUGAACGCUAGCUACAGGCUUAACACAUGCAAGUCGAGGGGAAACGGCAUUGAGUGCUUGCACUCUUUGGACGUCGACCGGCGCACGGGUGAGUAACGCGUAUCCAACCUUCCCAUUACUGUGGGAUAACCUGCCGAAAGGCAGACUAAUACCGCAUAGUCUUCGAUGACGGCAUCAGAUUUGAAGUAAAGAUUUAUCGGUAAUGGAUGGGGAUGCGUCUGAUUAGCUUGUUGGCGGGGUAACGGCCCACCAAGGCUACGAUCAGUAGGGGUUCUGAGAGGAAGGUCCCCCACAUUGGAACUGAGACACGGUCCAAACUCCUACGGGAGGCAGCAGUGAGGAAUAUUGGUCAAUGGACGGAAGUCUGAACCAGCCAAGUAGCGUGCAGGAUGACGGCCCUAUGGGUUGUAAACUGCUUUUGUAUGGGGAUAAAGUUAGGGACGUGUCCCUAUUUGCAGGUACCAUACGAAUAAGGACCGGCUAAUUCCGU